Molecule: small nuclear RNA, 19 nt
Filed under: Arabidopsis thaliana (thale cress)
Lineage: Eukaryota; Viridiplantae; Streptophyta; Magnoliopsida; Brassicales; Brassicaceae
Description: snRNA_12825
Source: RNAcentral
CGGAACAGUGAAUUCCAAA